This 253-nucleotide ribosomal RNA is filed under the name uncultured bacterium. RNAcentral describes it as "partial 16S ribosomal RNA". It matches the Rfam family "Bacterial small subunit ribosomal RNA", at positions 524 to 776 of the family's 1533-position model. The record is from RNAcentral.
UACGUAGGGUGCAAGCGUUGUUCGGAAUUAUUGGGCGUAAAGCGUGCGUAGGCGGCUAUGCAAGUCAGAUGUGAAAUCCCCGGGCUCAACCUGGGAACUGCAUUUGUGACUGCAUGGCUAGAGUACGGUAGAGGGGGAUGGAAUUCCGCGUGUAGCAGUGAAAUGCGUAGAUAUGCGGAGGAACACCGAUGGCGAAGGCAAUCCCCUGGGCCGGUACUGACGCUCAGGCACGAAAGCGUGGGGAGCAAACAGG